GACGUAGGUGGCGAGCGUUGUCCGGAUUUAUUGGGUUUAAAGGGUGCGUAGGCGGCCCUAUAAGUCAGUGGUGAAAUAUCGCAGCUUAACUGUGAGGGUGCCAUUGAUACUGUAGGGCUUGAGUGAAUUUGAGGUAGGCGGAAUUGACGGUGUAGCGGUGAAAUGCUUAGAUAUCGUCAAGAACACCGAUAGUGAAGACAGCUUACCAAGCUUCAACUGACGCUGAGGCACGAAAGUGUGGGGAUCAAACAGG
Molecule: ribosomal RNA, 253 nt
Filed under: uncultured bacterium
Lineage: Bacteria
Description: partial 16S ribosomal RNA
Rfam family: Bacterial small subunit ribosomal RNA
Source: RNAcentral